GACUUUGUGGCCCAAUAGAUAAGGCGCUGGUCUACGAAACCAGAGAUUCUGGGUUCGAUCCCCAGCAGAGUCGAUUUUUUUUUUGCUUUGUUACAUGCUUUAUAUUGAUUAUGAUUAUUCAAUCUAAUGGCUAAAAUGCAAAUGACUCUGUGGCUCAAUGGAUAAGGCUUUGGUCUACGAAACCAGAGAUUCUGGGUUCGAUCCCCAGCAGAGUCGCUUUUUGUUAUUUUGUCAACUGUCACGUGUUUUAUAUCGUUUUAUUGUCGAAUCGAACAUCUUAAACCCGAAUGACUCUGUGGCCCAAUGGAUAAGGCGCUGGUCUACGAAACCAGAGAUUCUGGGUUCGAUCCCCAGCAGAGUCG
Molecule: transfer RNA, 362 nt
Filed under: Helianthus annuus (common sunflower)
Lineage: Eukaryota; Viridiplantae; Streptophyta; Magnoliopsida; Asterales; Asteraceae
Rfam family: tRNA (bases 290-362)
Source: RNAcentral